Molecule: ribosomal RNA, 450 nt
Filed under: uncultured bacterium
Lineage: Bacteria
Description: partial 16S ribosomal RNA
Rfam family: Bacterial small subunit ribosomal RNA
Source: RNAcentral
GUGGGGAAUUUUGGACAAUGGGCGAAAGCCUGAUCCAGCAAUGCCGCGUGCAGGAUGAAGGCCCUCGGGUUGUAAACUGCUUUUGUACGGAACGAAAAGCCUGGGGCUAAUAUCCCCGGGUCAUGACGGUACCGUAAGAAUAAGCACCGGCUAACUACGUGCCAGCAGCCGCGGUAAUACGUAGGGUGCAAGCGUUAAUCGGAAUUACUGGGCGUAAAGCGUGCGCAGGCGGGUUUGUAAGACAGUGGUGAAAUCCCCGGGCUCAACCUGGGAACUGCCAUUGUGACUGCAAGGCUAGAGUGCGGCAGAGGGGGAUGGAAUUCCGCGUGUAGCAGUGAAAUGCGUAGAUAUGCGGAGGAACACCGAUGGCGAAGGCAAUCCCCUGGGCCUGCACUGACGCUCAUGCACGAAAGCGUGGGGAGCAAACAGGAUUAGAAACCCUAGUAGUCC